RNAcentral lists this ribosomal RNA (498 nucleotides) under uncultured bacterium. Its description in RNAcentral is "partial 16S ribosomal RNA". It matches the Rfam family "Bacterial small subunit ribosomal RNA", at positions 28 to 508 of the family's 1533-position model. The record is from RNAcentral.
GAUGAACGCUGGCGGCGUGCCUAAUACAUGCAAGUCGAGCGAACGGACGAGAAGCUUGCUUCUCUGAUGUUAGCGGCGGACGGGUGAGUAACACGUGGAUAACCUACCUAUAAGACUGGGAUAACUUCGGGAAACCGGAGCUAAUACCGGAUAAUAUUUUGAACCGCAUGGUUCAAAAGUGAAAGACGGUCUUGCUGUCACUUAUAGAUGGAUCCGCGCUGCAUUAGCUAGUUGGUAAGGUAACGGCUUACCAAGGCAACGAUGCAUAGCCGACCUCAGAGGGUGAUCGGCCACACUGGAACUGAGACACGGUCCAGACUCCUACGGGAGGCAGCAGUAGGGAAUCUUCCGCAAUGGGCGAAAGCCUGACGGAGCAACGCCGCGUGAGUGAUGAAGGUCUUCGGAUCGUAAAACUCUGUUAUUAGGGAAGAACAUAUGUGUAAGUAACUGUGCACAUCUUGACGGUACCUAAUCAGAAAGCCACGGCUAACUACGUGC